This 277-nucleotide ribosomal RNA is filed under the name uncultured bacterium. RNAcentral's name for it is "partial 16S ribosomal RNA". It matches the Rfam family "Bacterial small subunit ribosomal RNA", at positions 333 to 602 of the family's 1533-position model. The record is from RNAcentral.
GUGCUCCUACGGGAGGCAGCAGUAGGGAAUCUUCCACAAUGGGCGAAAGCCUGAUGGAGCGACGCCGCGUGGGUGAAGAAGGUCUUCGGAUCGUAAAACCCUGUUGUUAGAGAAGAAAGUGCGUGAGAGUAACUGUUCACGUUUCGACGGUAUCUAACCAGAAAGCCACGGCUAACUACGUGCCAGCAGCCGCGGUAAUACGUAGGUGGCAAGCGUUAUCCGGAUUUAUUGGGCGUAAAGGGAACGCAGGCGGUCGUUUAAGGCUGAUGUGAAAGCC